This 1281-nucleotide ribosomal RNA is filed under the name Salinivibrio sharmensis. RNAcentral describes it as "bacterial SSU rRNA". It matches the Rfam family "Bacterial small subunit ribosomal RNA", at positions 83 to 1358 of the family's 1533-position model. The record is from RNAcentral. Lineage: Bacteria; Pseudomonadati; Pseudomonadota; Gammaproteobacteria; Vibrionales; Vibrionaceae.
GCUGGACGUCGAGCGGCGGACGGGUGAGUAACGGCUGGGAACCUGCCCUGACGAGGGGGAUAACCGUUGGAAACGACGGCUAAUACCGCAUAAUGUCUACGGACCAAAGGUGGCCUCUACAUGUAAGCUAUCGCGUUGGGAUGGGCCCAGUUAGGAUUAGCUAGUUGGUAAGGUAAUGGCUUACCAAGGCGACGAUCCUUAGCUGGUUUGAGAGGAUGAUCAGCCACACUGGGACUGAGACACGGCCCACACUCCUACGGGAGGCAGCAGUGGGGAAUAUUGCACAAUGGGGGAGACCCUGAUGCAGCCAUGCCGCGUGUGUGAAGAAGGCCUUCGGGUUGUAAAGCACUUUCAGCAGUGAGGAAGGUGGUGUACUUAAUACGUGCAUUGCUUGACGUUAGCUGCAGAAGAAGCACCGGCUAACUCCGUGCCAGCAGCCGCGGUAAUACGGAGGGUGCGAGCGUUAAUCGGAAUUACUGGGCGUAAAGCGCAUGCAGGCGGUUUGUUAAGUCAGAUGUGAAAGCCCGGGGCUCAACCUCGGAACCGCAUUUGAAACUGGCAGGCUAGAGUCUUGUAGAGGGGGGUAGAAUUUCAGGUGUAGCGGUGAAAUGCGUAGAGAUCUGAAGGAAUACCAGUGGCGAAGGCGGCCCCCUGGACAAAGACUGACGCUCAGAUGCGAAAGCGUGGGUAGCAAACAGGAUUAGAUACCCUGGUAGUCCACGCCGUAAACGCUGUCUACUUGGAGGUUGAGGUUUAAGACUUUGGCUUUCGGCGCUAACGCAUUAAGUAGACCGCCUGGGGAGUACGGCCGCAAGGUUAAAACUCAAAUGAAUUGACGGGGGCCCGCACAAGCGGUGGAGCAUGUGGUUUAAUUCGAUGCAACGCGAAGAACCUUACCUACUCUUGACAUCCAGAGAACCUUCCAGAGAUAGAUUAGUGCCUUCGGGAGCUCUGAGACAGGUGCUGCAUGGCUGUCGUCAGCUCGUGUUGUGAAAUGUUGGGUUAAGUCCCGCAACGAGCGCAACCCUUAUCCUUGUUUGCCAGCACGUAAUGGUGGGAACUCCAGGGAGACUGCCGGUGAUAAACCGGAGGAAGGUGGGGACGACGUCAAGUCAUCAUGGCCCUUACGAGUAGGGCUACACACGUGCUACAAUGGCAGAUACAGAGGGCAGCGAAGCUGCGAAGUGGAGCGAAUCCCUUAAAGUCUGUCGUAGUCCGGAUUGGAGUCUGCAACUCGACUCCAUGAAGUCGGAAUCGCUAGUAAUCGUGGAUCAGAAUGCC